GCGCACCAGUCGAGAAACCUUCGCAAUGCGGGAAACCGCGACGAGGGGACUCCCAGUGCCUACGCUCAGCGUAGGCUGUUCCCGAGCCUAGAAAGCUCGGGGAGUAAGGGCUGGGUAAGACGGGUGCCAGCCGCCGCGGUAAUACCCGCAGCCCGAGUGGUGGCCACUAUUAUUGGGCCUAAAGCGUCCGUAGCCGGCCCGGUAAAUGCCUGGGUAAAUCGUGAGGCCUAACCUCACGAAUUCCGGGUAGACUGCCGGGCUAGGGACCGGAGGAGGGAGAGGGUACUCCGAGGGGUAGGGGUGAAAUCCUGUAAUCCCUGGAGGACCACCGGUGGCGAAGGCGCUCUCCUAGGACGGGUCCGACGGUGAGGGACGAAAGCCGAGGGGAGCGAACCGGAUUAGA
This 403-nucleotide ribosomal RNA is filed under the name uncultured microorganism. RNAcentral describes it as "bacterial SSU rRNA". It matches the Rfam family "Archaeal small subunit ribosomal RNA", at positions 330 to 733 of the family's 1478-position model. The record is from RNAcentral.